UACGAAGGGUGCAAGCGUUACUCGGAAUUAAUGGGAGUAAAGAGUGCGUAGGCGGUUUUGUAAGAAAGAUGUGAAAGCCCCGGGCUCAACCUGGGAAUGGCAUUUGGGACUGCAAGGCUUGAGUGCGGCAGAGGAGACUGGAAUUCCUGGUGUAGCAGUGAAAUGCGUAGAUAUCAGGAGGAAUACCGAUGGCGAAGGCAGGUCUCUGGGCUGACACUGACGCUCAUGCACGAAAGCGUGGGGAGCAAACAGG
Molecule: ribosomal RNA, 253 nt
Filed under: uncultured bacterium
Lineage: Bacteria
Description: partial 16S ribosomal RNA
Rfam family: Bacterial small subunit ribosomal RNA
Source: RNAcentral